RNAcentral lists this ribosomal RNA (253 nucleotides) under uncultured bacterium. RNAcentral describes it as "partial 16S ribosomal RNA". It matches the Rfam family "Bacterial small subunit ribosomal RNA", at positions 524 to 776 of the family's 1533-position model. The record is from RNAcentral.
UACGUAGGGGGCAAGCGUUGUCCGGAUUUAUUGGGCGUAAAGAGCGUGUAGGCGGCCUGAAAGGUCAGCUGUGAAAACUCGAGGCUCAACCUCGAGACGUCGGUUGAAACCAUCUGGCUAGAGUCCGGAAGAGGAGUGUGGAAUUCCCGGUGUAGCGGUGAAAUGCGCAGAUAUCGGGAGGAACACCCAUGGCGAAGGCAGCAAGCUGGGCGACACCUGACGCUGAGGCGCGAAAGCGUGGGUAGCAAACAGG